CUGAGAGGGAGCGGGGAGAUGCGGAGCGGCGGCGCGUUCGGAGGAGCAAGCGAAGCGGAGCUCUGCUGCUGGUUAUUGUUAGCUGGGAAGUCCAGAGAGGAGCAAAACCAGGAAACCGAGAGAUGCUAGAGAAGUGGAAAGCUGUGGGUUGACUUGGCACAAGCUAAACAGGAAGCUUCCAUCACUGUUCUGGAAUUAAAGAAGAAGAUAAAGACUCUCUGUGAUGGAAAGUUAAACCCCUAGAGAGUCAAAGCAGAAGGCUCUUUGUUGAAGAGGACUGCAGCAGAGCUCAGUGUACUCUGGUGAGACCCCUUCUACUUUUGCUGGGUCCAGUGGUGGAGGCUCAGGAGAGGAUCAGGCAGUUUUUGUUCAUCAUGGAUGCCCAUUCAAAAUGGCCAGAACUUUUCAGAAUGACUUCCACUAUAGCUU
Dermochelys coriacea (leatherback sea turtle) is the source of this 429-nucleotide long non-coding RNA. RefSeq lists it as uncharacterized. The transcript is spliced from 4 exons. NCBI's taxonomy places the organism in Eukaryota, Metazoa, Chordata, Testudines, Dermochelyidae. The record is from RefSeq and is a predicted model, not a curated record.